AGUGAACGCUGGCGGUAGGCCUAACACAUGCAAGUCGAACGGCAGCACAGAGGAGCUUGCUCCUUGGGUGGCGAGUGGCGGACGGGUGAGGAAUACAUCGGAAUCUACUCUGUCGUGGGGGAUAACGUAGGGAAACUUACGCUAAUACCGCAUACGACCUACGGGUGAAAGCAGGGGAUCUUCGGACCUUGCGCGAUUGAAUGAGCCGAUGUCGGAUUAGCUAGUUGGCGGGGUAAAGGCCCACCAAGGCGACGAUCCGUAGCUGGUCUGAGAGGAGGAUCAGCCACACGGGAACUGAGACACGGUCCAGACUCCUACGGGAGGCAGCAGUGGGGAAUAUUGGACAAUGGGCGCAAGCCUGAUCCAGCCAUACCGCGUGGGUGAAGAAGGCCUUCGGGUUGUAAAGCCCUUUUGUUGGGAAAGAAAUCCAUCUGGUUAAUACCCGGGUGGGAUGACGGUACCCAAAGAAUAAGCACCGGCUAACUUCGUGCCAGCCGCCGCAGUAA
RNAcentral lists this ribosomal RNA (506 nucleotides) under uncultured bacterium. Its description in RNAcentral is "partial 16S ribosomal RNA". It matches the Rfam family "Bacterial small subunit ribosomal RNA", at positions 29 to 523 of the family's 1533-position model. The record is from RNAcentral.